RNAcentral lists this ribosomal RNA (492 nucleotides) under uncultured bacterium. RNAcentral's name for it is "partial 16S ribosomal RNA". It matches the Rfam family "Bacterial small subunit ribosomal RNA", at positions 29 to 507 of the family's 1533-position model. The record is from RNAcentral.
AGUGAACGCUGGCGGUAGGCCUAACACAUGCAAGUCGAACGGCAGCACAGUAAGAGCUUGCUCUUACGGGUGGCGAGUGGCGGACGGGUGAGGAAUACAUCGGAAUCUACUUUUUCGUGGGGGAUAACGUAGGGAAACUUACGCUAAUACCGCAUACGACCUACGGGUGAAAGCAGGUGAUCUUCGGACCUUUCGCGAUUGAAUGAGCCGAUGUCGGAUUAGCUAGUUGGCGGGGUAAAGGCCCACCAAGGCGACGAUCCGUAGCUGGUCUGAGAGGAUGAUCAGCCACACUGGAACUGAGACACGGUCCAGACUCCUACGGGAGGCAGCAGUGGGGAAUAUUGGACAAUGGGCGCAAGCCUGAUCCAGCCAUACCGCGUGGGUGAAGAAGGCCUUCGGGUUGUAAAGCCCUUUUGUUGGGAAAGAAAAGCAGCAGGUUAAUACACCGCUGUUAUGACGGUACCCAAAGAAUAAGCACCGGCUAACUUCGUG